This 6028-nucleotide long non-coding RNA is filed under the name Sus scrofa (pig). RNAcentral describes it as "lncRNA (ENSSSCG00000057064.1)". The record is from RNAcentral. Lineage: Eukaryota; Metazoa; Chordata; Mammalia; Artiodactyla; Suidae.
CACUGUACAGCAAGGGGGUCAGGUCAUCCUUAGAUGUAUACAUUGCAGUUACAGUUUUUUCCCCCACCCUUUCUUCUGUUGCGACAUGAGUAUCUAGACAUAGUUCUCAAUGCUAUUCAGCAGGAUCUCCUUAUAAAUCUAUUCUAGGUUGUGUCUGAUAAGCCCAAGCUCCUGAUCCCUCCCACUGGUUGUAUGUUCUUCAUCUCUAGAAGAGUUUGGGCUAGGUGGGCUAUGGUACUUUCCAGCUCUAAUAGUCUGGUCCCAUGAAGCCAGCCUAAGCCUGGGGGAAGGAAUUUAGGAUAAGUUCCUGCCUGGUAUACAGGAGGUAAGAUGGUUUACUGAGCGGUGAUGCACGCAAAUGAACUGCAGGUCUACUUUGAUCCUUCCCUUGCCUGGACUGGAUGCUUACUAUUGCCCAGCUCCCAGCUGCUGCCCUUAGUAGUAGUGGGAGCUCCCCAUGUCUCAAGACCUAGAGCCAAGGCAAGGAAGUCAUGAUACCCAGGCCUCUGCCACGACCAGCCACAAAAAGUCCUGAGGCUGGUGUCCAAGGUGAGUCCUGAUCACAGAGUCAGAUGACAGUCCCCAGUGGAGUGCUCCUCUCUAUCUUCUCUCACCCAUCUCUCAUCCUCCAGGCAGACCAAACAAGGAGAAGCUAAUGUUUGAUGGAAAAUAUUAAAAAAAAAAACUUUUAAUAUAACCUGCCUUCUCACUUAGAGAGAUUCCAUCCCCAUUCAUUAUUCCCACCCACACGAUCCUGGCUUGAUCCUAUCAGACAAACUCUGCACCUGUCCCAAGGCCAAUUCUCUUACUCCUUUGUAAGCUCCUGACAGUACUCUUUGGGUGAAGGUGUUUGUCUGAUUUAGGGCCAUGGGCUAACUCCAGGUGCCAGUCUCUGCUUCUCUUCACAAGCCCAGUGUUCUGAAAUUCAAAUAUGUCCAUUGAUAGUAUAAGUAGAGGAAAUAAUUUUAAACUUGGCUUAGAAUUUUAUAUAUUUUGAUGGAUAUUUAGAACUAUAAAAUGAUCAUUAUAGUUUUAUCUUUAAAGAGGUAAUUUCCUACCAGGAAGUGCUCGUAAACAAUUGGAUUUAUAUACCAAAAAAUAUUGCAGAAGCUUUUCAUUCCCUGGAAAACGUAUUAAAAUUAUGAUGGGGAGUUCCCGUCGUGGCUUAGUGGUUAACGAAUCUGACUAGGAACCAUGAGGUUGUGGGUUCGAUCCCUGGCCUUGCUCAGUGGGUUACGGAUCUGGUGUUGCCGUGAGCUGUGGUGUAGGUCGCAGAUGCGGCUUGGAUUCUGCAUUGCUGUGGCUGUGGUAUAGGCCAGUACCUACAGCUCCAAUUCAACCCCUAGCCUGGGAACCUCCAUAUGCCGCAGGAGCAGUCCUAGAAAAGGCAAAAAUACAAAAACAAACAAACAAAAAAAAGUUUGAAAAGCCGGUCAAUAUAGAGCCUGACAGAAGCAUGUCAAGAUUUCAUAUGUGAUCACAGCCAUCUUUGCUAUUUUUGGGUAGACAAUACAAGGACAUCUAUAGUUUGUUUCCUAUAAUAGAGGUAGAGGCUUCAUAGUAAGAAUAAGAAAUCAGUCAGUGGCUAUUCUUUAUUUAGAUUCAGAAAAUCAAAAUCAAAUCCUUGAUCCCAGGGUUAAGAGUUAUUUCCAAGGGUGUGAGUCUUGCAUUCCAGAAACUAUCUUUGUGGGAAUAAUGGGAUUUUAUCAGGGGAUUCCUGGGGAUACCUGUUUAGAUCAGGAUAAGUGUGCUGCAUGAGAUGAAAAUGCAAUGGAGGUGUUCCCUGGUUGCCUUGUGGUUAAGGAUCCAGCAUUGUCACUGCUGUGGCUUGGGUUACUGCUGUGGCCCAGGUUCAAUCCCUACUGUGGCCCGGGAACUUCUGCAUGCCAUGGGCACAGCCAAAGGAAAGGGGAUUUAGAUCGCAUUUCCACCAAAUCCCACCCGAGAACAUUUUUUUUUUCUGCCAGCUAGUAGCAAGUAAACAACAUUUAAUGAAGCAAAAUGUAGAUGUAUUUUCACAAUAUUAAUCACAUUUCCACAUCUAUCCUCACCCAUCUAAGACCAAUCACAGAUGUCCAUUUUACUAAUCCUUUUCAAAUUCUUUUUUAAAGUUUUUAAUAUAAAGACUUACUUUGAUCAAUUGUCUGAGUAUUAAUGUCUUUAUCUAGAAUAGAAGGUAUAAGGCAAUUGUCGGUGGAUUUUUUCAAAGCCUUAAGACAGCAAGGAAAGUACCCCAAAGAGCCAUAAAGAAAGAGAAUACUUCUAGCAAACCCAAGGCAUUUUUCUUUAUCUCACACAGUCAGGAGGCCCAUGUACUCCCUGCAGUAGAAAGAACAGAAUUAGGGAUCAAGGCAUCCUAGUACCGUGCUCUAACUAGCAGAUAACUGUAGUCUAGACUUAGCAAAUUGGUCUCUGUGUGCAGACAUACCACUUUCCUUUUAUUUUUCCUUUUUGGCUAUACCCGAGGCAUGCAGAGGUUCCCAGGCUAGGGACCAAACCCACACCACAGCGGAGACCUGAGCCACAGCAGCAACAAUGGUAAAUCCUUAACCUACUGAGCCUCCAGGGAACUCCCAGACAUUCCACUAUCUAAGAUGGAGAUUUCUUCCUUUUUUCAGAUAGACUGUGAUCAUUGAUUGAUUUGACUGACUACACUUCUAAAAGUCUGACUUAUUGAAGCAUAAUCGAUACAUGAAAAAAUUCAUCCUUUUCUGACAAAUCCAUACAGUUGUGUUACCCCCAAUGUAAGACACUGAACCUUUCUACCAGAGUCCUCACAAAUGCAACAGAUGAUUCCAUGUGGCUUCCUAUGUAGACAGAGUGCACUAUUUAAAAUAAAUCAGAUCAUUUUAAAAUGCUUAAAAUCUUUGAAGGGCUCAUGGCAGUCUGGAUUAGCAGUUCUUAUCUGGGUCGUAUGGAUAGAAUUGUGGAGGGUCAUGAGUUUGAAUGGCAAAUGUUAGGGCUUUAUUUUCACAAAUGACAAACCAUAAACCUCACUACAGUUUUGUCAUAUUACAGUUGUUACAGUUAUCUCAAAAUAUUGCUUAUGCUAAGCACGAUUUUGAAAUUGCAUUCAUCAGACCCACUGCUAGAUCUUAUUUAAUGUCAAUAAUAUUAAGGAGCACAUAUUACUACAGCACAGAGUUGGUUUUAAUAUUGUGAACUCUGUAUCUAAUGUAAUCAGUUUCCUUUUUAAUCUUAUGUAUUUUAUCCUUUGAAAGCAUCCAUAGGUUUCAUCAGACUGCCAAAGGAGUCUGUGGCACAAAAUAUAUCUAAGAAUCCCAGUUUUGGAUGAAGACCAUAAUUCUCAACAGAUCUUUCCAAAGUCAUACGUUAUUUAGUCUCUUAGUCUUCAUUUCUCAACACUUCACAAGAGUAGCUCAUCCUACAAAAUAUACACAAGACUGAACUACUUUCAAUUUCUUUGAUGGGUUAUGCUCACUCUUAUCUCCCUCCGCUGUAUCUUCUCAAGUCUCCAACCCCAAUCCAUCUACCCUCUCUCCUCAAUUACAUUCACACAUCCUUUAGGCUCUAGAAAGCCUUUGUGCCCAACACGCACACAUUGGGCUCAGGCCACUCAUGCUGCCUCCAUAUCACCCAGCACCAUUCUUAUCACUUUGGUUGUAUAUGCAUAUCAUGUGUCUUCAUUAGACUCUAUGUGUAAAGCUAUGUAUGUACAGGGACCAAGAAGCCCUUGUACACAGUUACCUCCCCAAAAUUUAGCACAGUCUGCCUCUUAAUAAAUAUGACAGUAAUCAGUUCCUUUCUUUCCUUUGCUCCUUGAUCUACCUGCAAGACUGAGCUAGACUUCCCUUUAUAAUCCUCCUAACUCUAAAAUUACGGAACUGUCCCCAAUAUUAUACUUCAAACUGAUUAACCAAAACACACUUGGCAUUGCUCAAACAAUGCAGGAAUUUCUUCUAUGUCACCUCACUCAUGACUUCCAAACUCUCUAAAAAUAAUCUACAAUUAGACUGUUCAUUAGCUUACUCUAACUUCCCUUUUAGUAUCUCAUGUGUGGCUAACAUUCCAGACAUCUGGCCCACUCACAGAUGAACCAACUAUUCUUGAAAUUUCCCCUUAACUCCUUCUUCAUUAAACUCAUUGCCUUUACUACCCUACCCAUGGUAAACGUCCCACAGCAUUCUCUUACUUUAGGCUCAGUAGCCAUGCAGCCAUCCACUUAGAUGUCUCACAGGCUUCUGCGGAUGGAAAGAACCCUAGAGGUCGUCCAGACAUGAGGAGUCGAGGAGGGGUGUGGAGGUGCUCCCACUGAAGUUUUCCAGAAUACGCGUGCUUUUAAUCCUCCUCCCCCUCAAUUCCACCUUAACAGGCCCGAGGCCUGUGAACUCUGAAUGGUUGCUUUAACCUGUGGUUCCUGAUCCCAGUUUUGUUCAAUGAUGUUAUUCAUUCAUUCAAAAACAUUUUUGAGACUACGUAUCAGGCAUUGCCUUUCUCUGACUGAGGUUCUCACCUGAACCACAAGACACAGAAAGUGAUUUGCUUGACUGUUUUCUCAGUUCUCCCAAGGAUGGUACAUGGUGCCAGUCUAAAUAAAUAGUCUAAAUAUACAGGAUAGGAAGUAAUUAAUACACAGAUGCCUCAGUCAUUAGGCUAAAUUCUCUCGUGGAAACUGAGAUGAAACAGAGUCCCUCCUAUUGCGAGGAGAGAUGAAAACAGACAAGCAAAUAAUGAACAGAUUUAAUAAGUACUAUGAAGAAUGUAAGUGUGAUACAGAAUAACCAGAAGAAACAGGUCAGUAAAAGUCUCUGAGAACACUGGAGCUGAGACCUAAGAAUGAGAAGCAAGUCCAUGACACAGCAGGGAACACAGCAUACUAAAAGAACAGCAUACAGAUACACAGGACCCAGGCUGGUAAAAGCCUGCGGUGACUGAGGAACAGAAAGAGGCCACGGGGCGGGGGGGGAACAGAGGGAAGAGAGUAGGACAAGAUGUGUAGGAGAAGGAGGCAAGCUCAGAUGCUGUAGGGCUCUAGAGGGAGAGCAGAAGGCUCUGGGCUUUUAUGCAAGCACCAUAGGAAGGAGUGAGGUGGUAAUUUGUUUCUUCAUUAUAGUUUUCAUUUGUUUUAAGUAAACAUGUAACAAAUUUUCUAGAGAAGAAAUCUCCCCUCCCCCCAAUCCCCCUACUAGGGACCUCACAGAUGUGCAACAUGUGCAUUUGCACAAGGCAGAACACUCAGAGGCUCCAUACUUGGUUUAGCCCUCUGCCACUGCCUUCUUGAAAUUCUUAGUAUGUUUGAACAAGGAACCCCUUGUUUUCAUUUUGCCCUGGUCUCUGCACAUUACACAGCUGAUCCUGUCCUCUUCUUCUAAGAGGGGAAAAUAAAUGUCCACUUGCACUCUGGGAAUUAAGUGCACUUGCAGCCCUGGGGACUGGUGCUCACUCCCACAAGGCUGGAGACUGGUCCAGUAAGGUGGGUGCCUUCACACAUUGGAGGUCCUAGGUUGGUCCCCAGGUCACCCUAAGUACAUAGAGCCCUUUAAGAAAAACCCAGCCCAUGCCUUCAGAAAUCAUUCAGUAAGUCGCACAGAGAGCAGGCAGAGCCAAAACAAUUUUUCCUUGGUCUGCCAAGCUUUUGCAGUCAUGGUUUAGUGAGUAAACUAUUGACAGUUAUACUUCUUUCCCAUUCCCUCUGGUAUAAUCACCAUUAAGCAGGGAGGGGGAAAGAAGACCCCCAAAGAAAGAAGAAAGCCCCCUUUGCAGAUCUAGAAAAGGACAGCUGAAGAAACAGCCUGCCACCUUCAUCUCUAAUAAGAUCUGAGCCACAGGAAGAAAAAAAUAGACUUGUGGUUGCCAAAGGGAGAGGGAGGGAGUGGGAUGGAUGGGGAGCUUGGGGUUAAUAGAUGCAAACUAUUGCCUUUGGAAUAGAUUAGCAAUGAGAUCCUGCUGUGUAGCCCGGGGAACUAUGUCUGGUCACUUAUGAUGGAGCAGGAUAAUGUGCGAAAAUAGUAUGUGAACGUGUAUGUGUAACUGGGUCACCACGCUGUACCGUAGGAAAAAAAUUGUA